CAGUGGGAGGGAGGUGGGCAGGGCGCGCGUUUGGCUGGUGCGCGGCGAGAGUUCGUCUCCUCCGGAGCUGCUGCUUGGGCGGCGCUCGGCCGCCGGGGUACGGCAGGAGGGGCUUGGCGGUUGGUGGAGGGGACCUCUCGGCGCCUCCUCGAUGCUUCGGGAUCCCGAGAGCGGGCUGCUUCUUCCAGCCUCUUUCUCUCCCGGGUGCCUGGAUGCGCCGGGAGCUGCUCUCGCUCUUUUGGGGCUGGCCCGGAGAGAGACAGAGAGCGCGCGCCUCGCCGGGCACAAAUCGCGGGGGAUCGUGCGCAUUUCUCGGCUGGCUCCUGCAGGUCGGCAGAACCCCUAAACCCCGAGUGUCUGCCAAGGAUGGGAUGCGGGUUAUUAUGGCCCCCACGACCUGGACGCAUCUUCCCCGUUGGACAAGGAAGGACCUCGCUGCGUUGGAUUUAUGCCUCUGGGAUGUUCAAGCAUCGCCCUUCCGGGAAGAGGGCAUCUGCUGGAGAGGAGGGAAGAUGCUGGCAAGAACACCUGGGAGAACCUGGCCCCUUGGUCUCCCUCGGGCCUGGAUUAUUGUGGUACCCCUGCCUCGCAACGAUGGUUUUUGCGCACCCCUGUUGGGCUUGGACACCUUUGCCUGAAGCAAAAUCCGGUGCGUUUUGGAGCUGAUCUGCUUGGUGCCCUCUCCGUCCCCGCCUUCAUAUUUGGAAUAUAAUUCUUGCUGCGCUUUUCGCGGCAGCCCCUCUCCACAUGGGGGAUGCCCUCCAGGAUCACAUGUCAAAAGAAGAAGGUAAUCAGUGCACAGAGGACGCUGACAGAAAGGCCAAGAUGCAGAAGACCCAAUUGUUUGUGCAGAAAGGACCUCACCUGAUGGAGGAAACCUCUUUGGAAAUGUCAGGAACGCUUAUGCUUAUGACUUGUAGUCCACCAGCUGCUAAGAUAUGAAACAGAUGUCUGGUGAAGAGAGGAGCUCUCAUCUCAUGAUCAGCAGAAGUGGAGUAUGGGAUCUUCAGCUAGCAGAAUGCUAGGCAAAGCUACCUCACCAGUAUCUGUACAUAAUGAAGCAAGUUAACUUUGGUUUGUUUCCCUUGGUUUUAUAGUUUCGAGAUGUUCCCUCCUUUUCCGCUGUGCCUGUAUAGUCACCUCCACCAGAGACCUGAAAACCACUUGGGGAAAGGGAACAGCCAUUUGGUCCAAACAGGAGUAUAUGCCACACACCCACCCUAUGUUGUUGAAAGAUUCAAAUAUGGCAAUGGAAAUAGCUGUGAAUUUUCCCAAUGGCCUCUGCAUCUCUUAUGCCUCCUCUUUCAUUGCCGAUUUAAUGAUUCAGUGGGAGUUCAGGAUGCCCAGAUGAUCAACGGGAAGAUUGGAACAAGAAGAUUGUUUUGUUGUUGUUGUCCUGAUGUAUCAAUAAAAUCAUAUUUUUUUUAAAAAAAAAGAAAAUUGGACUAUAUAUACCCAGUGUUGGGGGCCCAAAGAAUUUAAAUCUGUUCCCGGGGAAUUAAUAGUCAGUUUUACAAAUUUUACUGUGAGUUGUCACAUGGAAACCCAGGAAAUACAAAUUGUCAUUCCUCUGUCAAAAGGAAAUUAUAAUGUCACAUAUACUUAUACCGAAGAGUCCAUCUGACAUACAAAAGACAGCCUCAUGUAAGCAUGGAUAAGCAUAGGAAGUUUUUUAUGCUUCGUGUUUUAAAUAUUUUGUUGGGAGCUGCCCAGAGUGGCUGGGGCAUACUAGUUGGAUGGGCAUCAUAUAAAUAGAAUUAUUAUUAUUAUUAUUAUUA
Podarcis muralis (Common wall lizard) is the source of this 1778-nucleotide long non-coding RNA. RefSeq lists it as uncharacterized. The record is from RefSeq and is a predicted model, not a curated record. Lineage: Eukaryota; Metazoa; Chordata; Lepidosauria; Squamata; Lacertidae.